CGCGGUUUGCGCGCUCAGUGGGCGCUGUGUCGCCGGCGGGGCCGUUUGUGCUGUGGGUCUGCGCACAGCGCCUGCCGCCGCCUUACAGUCUGUUUUAUUGUGUGCGCGGCUCCCGUCUUGCCUGGGUCAGCGGCUCCCGGGGCGCGUCUCUUCCCCGUCUUUCCUCCUUGAGCGCUUCCGCAGAGUGAUUUGUCCGCGCCCCUUGUCUGCUGAGGGGGGGCGUCCCCCCGGCCCGCGCCCCUUUUCUCCCCGCUCCUGGCCGGGGGCUUGCGGCGCUUCCUUCUGGAUGCGUCCCCGCAGCCCCGGGCGGGAGGCGGCCGGGGGGAAGCGCUGCCUCCGAGGAUUUACCGCUGCCUGGGACUCGGACCCGCUCCUUCCCCGCGGGCGCACCCGGCGCCCCGGCUCCGCUGCCGCUCCGGGCCGCUGCCAUGGACGAGAAGUACCUGCCCGAGCUGAUGGCGGAGAAGGACUCGCUGGACCCGUCCUUCACCCACGCCUUGCGGCUGGUCAACCAAGAAAUUGAAAAAUUCCAAAAAGGGGAAGGAAAGGAAGAAGAAAAGUAUAUUGAUGUAGUCAUCAAUAAGAAUAUGAAGUUGGGACAAAAAGUUCUGAUUCCAGUAAAACAAUUCCCUAAGUUCAACUUCGUGGGAAAACUUUUGGGUCCACGUGGCAAUUCUCUAAAGCGUUUACAGGAAGAAACACUGACAAAAAUGUCUAUUUUGGGAAAAGGUUCUAUGAGGGACAAGACAAAGGAGGAAGAGUUGAGGAAAAGUGGAGAGGCAAAGUAUUUCCACCUAAAUGAUGACCUGCAUGUUUUAAUUGAAGUAUUUGCUCCACCUGCAGAAGCAUAUGCCAGAAUGGGACAUGCAUUGGAAGAAAUUAAGAAGUUCCUCAUUCCUGACUACAAUGAUGAAAUCAGACAGGCACAACUUCAAGAAUUAACAUAUUUAAAUGGUGGCUCAGAAAGUGCAGAAGUUCCAGUUGUCCGUGGAAAAUCAUCGAUUCGAGCAAGAGGAGUACCUGUUCCUGCUUUGUCCAGGGGCCGUGGGGGAGUGCCCCCACCACCAGCAGGAGUGCCCAGAGGGGCACCAGCUCCCAGGGGAGUCCCUCCCAGCAGAGGACCAGUCAGUCGGAGCCGGGGACUUCUGGCACCCAGAGCACGAGGAGUUCCUCCCCCGGCAGGGUACCGGCCCCUGCCGCCGCCCCCGGCACAGGAGACCUACGGGGAAUAUGAGUAUGAUGAUGGCUAUGGAGCUGCUUAUGAUGAGCAAAGCUAUGAUUCCUAUGAUAACAGCUAUAGCACUCAAGCACAAAGUGGAGCAGAUUACUACGACUAUGGCCACGGACUGAGUGAAGACACCUACGACUCCUAUGGGCAAGAAGAAUGGACCAACUCACGACACAAGACACCUUCUGCAAGGACAACAAAAGGAGUCUACAGAGACCAGCCAUAUGCCAGAUACUGAUUGUACUGUCUGAUGUUGUGAAAUAUCCAAUCUCCACCAGUCCUGUAUACUGUUCAAAGAAACUCACCUCCUUGGACAGCCAAGAGAACAAAAACCCUAAUCUUCUGAUGCUUUGGAACUUCUGCCAUGUUAAUUAUGGACUGCUUAGAGCACUGUACUUACCUUGUAUGCUCAGACACUGACGAGAACGAGUAUGAGAAUCCUGCUCAGCAUUUCUUGUAUGAAAGCCUUAAAGUGUGAUACAGCAUACACUUUUUAAAAAUAAUUGUAUAUUGAAAUUCUUAACUGUAUAGUGAUGCAACAAUGUUUUAUUUGGAGCUCAAUAAAGAAUUUCCAUCUAAGUUCCUGUUACAAAGCAAUAAUGUGACCUCCUUUUCUUUAGUGACUCUUUUUAGCCUUAUGCAGCAAGUGUGAGAGAGUGUGUGAAGUCUCAUGACUAGAACUUAAAUGCUUCUGGAAAUAGCUUGUCUAAUGUAUGGACAACAUGGAUAAGUUAAAAUGAAGAUUAGUGUUUUCUGCUGAAGCUUUUUUUAAUAGCUAAUUGUAAACAAGUCUGCUCCAGACAAGACUCUUGGGUAGAUAUAAUGCUCCAACUUCCAUUUCCUUCAAAAACUUGUAUAACAAGAAGUGUUUAAUCCCUAUCAAUUAUAUUAUGCUGCUUAUUCUCUUUCACUUGGUGUUUGAUGCUUAGAAAUCUUUUCUCUAAUACACAGUCACAGGUUUUCUAGUAGUAGAGUCUUGGAUGAGAAUUUUACACCUUGAUAAAUCUUGUAUCCAGCAAUCAUGUUUCCUCAAUGCUUUCUGUUUUAUAUUAAUUGUGAUUGUGAUAAUUUGUAGCAGAAAUAAAGUUCUGGUAAUUUA
This is an RNA transcript of Passer domesticus (house sparrow), 2327 nucleotides long. It is a transcript of the gene named KH RNA binding domain containing, signal transduction associated 3, with no coding region annotated. The transcript is spliced from 11 exons. The record is from RefSeq and is a predicted model, not a curated record. NCBI's taxonomy places the organism in Eukaryota, Metazoa, Chordata, Aves, Passeriformes, Passeridae.